GGAUAGGUUUGCCUUGGACACAUUUGAUCCUUCCCUGAUUCAGGAAGCUAAGCAGGUUCAAUCUUGGUUAGCACUUAGAUGAAAGACCACCAGGAAAUAAGCUAGGAAAGAAUCCU
This 116-nucleotide ribosomal RNA is filed under the name Pogona vitticeps (central bearded dragon). Lineage: Eukaryota; Metazoa; Chordata; Lepidosauria; Squamata; Agamidae. The record is from RNAcentral.